GUUUUUCAUUUUUUUUUUUUUUUUUUUUUUUAUUUUUUCUUUU
RNAcentral lists this non-coding RNA (43 nucleotides) under Ostreococcus mediterraneus. The record is from RNAcentral. Lineage: Eukaryota; Viridiplantae; Chlorophyta; Mamiellophyceae; Mamiellales; Bathycoccaceae.